Molecule: ribosomal RNA, 253 nt
Filed under: uncultured bacterium
Lineage: Bacteria
Description: partial 16S ribosomal RNA
Rfam family: Bacterial small subunit ribosomal RNA
Source: RNAcentral
UACAGAGGGUGCAAGCGUUAAUCGGAGUUACUGGGCGUAAAGGGCGCGUAGGCGGUUUAAUAAGUGAGAUGUGAAAUCCCUGGGCUUAACCUAGGAACUGCAUCUUAUACUGUUAGACUAGAGUAUUGUAGAGGGUAGUGGAAUUUCCGGUGUAGCGGUGAAAUGCGUAGAGAUCGGAAGGAACACCAGUGGCGAAGGCGGCUACCUGGACAAAUACUGACGCUGAGGCGCGAGAGCGUGGGGAGCAAACAGG